This 488-nucleotide ribosomal RNA is filed under the name uncultured bacterium. RNAcentral's name for it is "partial 16S ribosomal RNA". It matches the Rfam family "Bacterial small subunit ribosomal RNA", at positions 30 to 507 of the family's 1533-position model. The record is from RNAcentral.
AUUGAACGCUGGCGGCAGGCCUAACACAUGCAAGUCGAACGGUAACAGGAAGCAGCUUGCUGCUUCGCUGACGAGUGGCGGACGGGUGAGUAAUGUCUGGGAAACUUCCUGAUGGAGGGGGAUAACUACUGGAAACGGUAGCUAAUACCGCAUAACGUCGCAAGACCAAAGAGGGGGACCUUAGGGCCUCUUGCCAUCGGAUGUGCCCAGAUGGGAUUAGCUAGUAGGUGGGGUAACGGCUCACCUAGGCGACGAUCCCUAGCUGGUCUGAGAGGAUGACAGCCACACUGGAACUGAGACACGGUCCAGACUCCUACGGGAGGCAGCAGGGGGGAAUAUUGCACAAUGGGCGCAAGCCUGAUGCAGCCAUGCCGGGUGUAUGAGAAGGCCUUCGGGUUGUAAAGUACUUUCAGCGGGGAGGAAGGGAGUAAAGUUAAUACCUUUGCUCAUUGACGUUACCCGCAGAAGAAGCACCGGCUAACUCCGUG